CCCUCUGGAGAGUUAUAUCAAAGGAAAGUAGAAUACUAUUCAUAGUUUUCAAAAUCUGACUCGUAGAACAGGGAA
The submitters of this non-coding RNA (75 nucleotides) gave its source as unclassified sequences. The record is from Rfam.